GCCAAUCUUCAACAUGUUUUUGGAGUAAACUAUGUGCGUAGUUUACUACGAUAAAUUGAUGUUUUAUAAGAGAAUACGCGGACAAUGUUGCGACAGAAAAACAACUGAUUAUUUCUCUGAACACCUUUAACAUCUCCACUGACUCCACAUAUGACCCAGAUAAGGAGACUGCUCAACACUAGCUACAGCUUUUGUCCGAUUAUGACAGACUCACAGUCAUGCAAGGUAUCUAAUACUAAAUUAUUUUCAGCUUUGAUAAACAAAAUAUAUAAACAAGGACAGACAUGCCAAUAUAAAAUAUACAUAAGUCAUAUUUGAGUUAAAGCUUCAUUAUUAUACCAGAUUUUGAAAAUGUCACUCUGAAAAAGAGUGUACGAAAUAUGACACAAGUAAAACCAUUUCAACCAGGGAUUAAUUAAAAAAAAAAACAAACAAAAAAAAAAAAAAA
Molecule: long non-coding RNA, 448 nt
Organism: Myxocyprinus asiaticus (Chinese sucker)
Lineage: Eukaryota; Metazoa; Chordata; Actinopteri; Cypriniformes; Catostomidae
Exons: 2
Source: RefSeq, a predicted model, not a curated record